RNAcentral lists this long non-coding RNA (573 nucleotides) under Malus domestica (apple). RNAcentral's name for it is "long non-coding RNA (MDOM_LNC014163)". The record is from RNAcentral. Lineage: Eukaryota; Viridiplantae; Streptophyta; Magnoliopsida; Rosales; Rosaceae.
AAAAGCACUUUCAAAUAGGUUCUAGCCUUUUACACUCUCAUUUGUAUUUCUAGCCAAUGGAUUGAAUAAAUCAAACAAAAUCAAUGAACAAGAUUAAACAAAAGUGCGUAAAAAGUUAAAAGGAUUUUGCAUUAUCCUUUCUCUAAGAUUAUGAUAUUAAGUAAAUAAUACUGGUAUAUACGGUAAUAUAUUUUAUAGAUUAAUUGGACAUUUUUUCUUUUGUUCAAUUGAAAAGUUGUUAAUCAAGUGUAUAGGAUAGAUAGGUCCAGACAACACACAUUUUUACCUUUCAACAACCACAAUGUUAAAUAUGCAGAAAUCAUUUAGACGGAAAGAAGUUAAAAAAUGUGUACAUGGGAAUUAAAAAAAGUAGUAUGAAAUACAGAAAUUUAUACAAAAAUAAUUAAUUAAUAAGAUAAAACGGCUAUGGUAUAUUUCUGUUUUGGCCUUGAUGUUCUAUAAACAAUGAAAUGUUAAAAGAGUGAGAUAGAGGGAGAUCGAAAAUGAAGGGUGAUACAAAAUAGUAGCACCGUCCAUGAUUAUUAAAAUGGAACUUUAACGAAAAGCUCACAG